GCGUUGGUGGUUCAGCGGUAGAACUCUCGCCUUCCAUGCAGGAGACUUGGGUUCAAUUCCUGGCCAACUCA
This 71-nucleotide transfer RNA is filed under the name Loxodonta africana (African savanna elephant). It matches the Rfam family "tRNA". From Rfam's summary of the family: Transfer RNA (tRNA) molecules are approximately 80 nucleotides in length. Their secondary structure includes four short double-helical elements and three loops (D, anti-codon, and T loops). Lineage: Eukaryota; Metazoa; Chordata; Mammalia; Proboscidea; Elephantidae. The record is from Rfam by way of RNAcentral.